Molecule: ribosomal RNA, 459 nt
Filed under: uncultured bacterium
Lineage: Bacteria
Description: partial 16S ribosomal RNA
Rfam family: Bacterial small subunit ribosomal RNA
Source: RNAcentral
CCUACGGGGGGCAGCAGUGAGGAAUAUUGGUCAAUGGGCGGGAUCCUGAACCAGCCAAGCCGCGUGAGGGAAGAAGGUCCUGCGUAUUGUAAACCUCUUUUGUCGGGGAACAAAGGCCGGGACUAGUCCCCGGAUGCGGGUACCCGAAGAAAAAGCAUCGGCUAACUCCGUGCCAGCAGCCGCGGUAAUACGGAGGAUGCGAGCGUUAUCCGGAUUUAUUGGGUUUAAAGGGUGCGCAGGCGGCCCGUUAAGUCAGCGGUAAAAUUGCGGGGCUCAACCCCGGCGAGCCGUUGAAACUGGCGGGCUGGAGUUGGAGAGAAGUACGCGGAAUGCGCGGUGUAGCGGUGAAAUGCUUAGAUAUCGCGCAGAACCCCGAUUGCGAAGGCAGCGUACCGGCGCCAGACUGACGCUGAGGCACGAAAGCGUGGGUAUCGAACAGGAUUAGAUACCCGGGUAGUC